GGUUGACCUCGGAUCAGGUAGGGUUACCCGCUGAACUUAAGCAUAUCAAUAAGCGGAGGAAAAGAAACCAACAGGGAUUGCCUCAGUAACGGCGAGUGAAGCGGCAAGAGCUCAAAUUUGAAAUCUGGCCCCUCCGGGGUCCGAGUUGUAAUUUGGAGAGGAUGCUUCGGGCGUGGCCCCCAUCUAAGUGCCCUGGAACGGGCCGUCAUAGAGGGUGAG
This 219-nucleotide ribosomal RNA is filed under the name Talaromyces columbinus. RNAcentral describes it as "partial 28S ribosomal RNA". It matches the Rfam family "Eukaryotic large subunit ribosomal RNA", at positions 1 to 216 of the family's 3401-position model. The record is from RNAcentral. Lineage: Eukaryota; Fungi; Ascomycota; Eurotiomycetes; Eurotiales; Trichocomaceae.